CACACGCACACAGCCGUUUCUCCUCUCCCCUUUGUAUCCUCUCGAGCAGCUCCUUGCUCAUGGUUCCCGUUGGAAUUCUCCAGAGCCACACGUCACUCACAAUUCCCUUGGUGGCCACCUUCACCCCGACAACCGCCUAGCCAUCGUCACUAACCAGUGUUCCUCUUUCCUCUGAUCACCACAGGACUCGACUAGGACCAACCCCGACGAGACUCAACGCUCAGGUAAUCAAACACUCAUCUUCCUAUUUUGUUUCGAUAAGACCCUACUAGAAUCCCCUGUAUGAUAGCGAAUCUUCCGACACCGCCGUGGUAAUUGCAUGCGACGAAGGACACGAACUGUUGAGGUAAACGUUCACUACUCUCUCUUACCGAAAACAACAAAUUGACACCAAAGGGGGUCCAAAGCGACCUUUAGCCUUUCGAAAUUGAAGCCCAGACUGAUUACCAAACACCCAGUCCUUUAACUCUAUAUAUUGCAUCCAAACGACUUAGACGAGCCACCGAGACUCUACUGUUGUUUACAAAACUAAGGUUUCAAGUGGGCAGCUCGGUUGGGGUGCUGACAGGGCGUACACGAGGUGCUGCUAGGUUGAAGUGAUUCACGUGGGAGGUAUUGAUGACUGUGGUAGAGUUGCUGCC
Molecule: long non-coding RNA, 641 nt
Organism: Hibiscus syriacus
Lineage: Eukaryota; Viridiplantae; Streptophyta; Magnoliopsida; Malvales; Malvaceae
Exons: 3
Source: RefSeq, a predicted model, not a curated record